GAUGAACGCUGGCGGCGUGCCUAAUACAUGCAAGUCGAGCGAACGGACGAGAAGCUUGCUCCUCUGAUGUUAGCGGCGGACGGGUGAGUAACACGUGGAUAACCUACCUAUAAGACUGGGAUAACUUCGGGAAACCGUAGCUAAUACCGGAUAAUAUUUUGAACCGCAUGGUUCAAAAGUGAAGGACGGUCUUGCUGUCACUUAUAGAUGGAUCCGCGCUGCAUUAGCUAGUUGGUAAGGUAACGGCUUACCAAGGCAACGAUGCGUAGCCGACCUGAGAGGGUGAUCGGCCACACUGGAACUGAGACACGGUCCAGACUCCUACGGGAGGCAGCAGUAGGGAAUCUUCCGCAAUGGGCGAAAGCUUGACGGAGCAACGCCGCGUGAGUGAUGAAGGUCUUCGGAUCGUAAAACUCUGUUAUUAGGGAAGAACAUAUGUGUAAGUAACUGUGCACGUCUUGACGGUACCUAAUCAGAAAGCCACGGCUAACUACGUG
This 497-nucleotide ribosomal RNA is filed under the name uncultured bacterium. RNAcentral's name for it is "partial 16S ribosomal RNA". It matches the Rfam family "Bacterial small subunit ribosomal RNA", at positions 28 to 507 of the family's 1533-position model. The record is from RNAcentral.